RNAcentral lists this ribosomal RNA (503 nucleotides) under uncultured bacterium. RNAcentral describes it as "bacterial SSU rRNA". It matches the Rfam family "Bacterial small subunit ribosomal RNA", at positions 28 to 526 of the family's 1533-position model. The record is from RNAcentral.
GACGAACGCUGGCGGCGUGCCUAACACAUGCAAGUCGAGCGGAGUUAGUUAACGGAAGUACUUCGGUAUGGAAGAUAAAUAACUUAGCGGCGGACGGGUGAGUAACGCGUGAGCAACCUUUCCUAGACAGGGGAAUAACACAUUGAAAGAUGUGCUAAUACCGCAUAAGACCACAACAUCACAUGAUGAAGGGGUAAAAGGAGAAAUUCGGUUUAGGGUGGGCUCGCGUCCCAUUAGCUAGUUGGUAAGGUAAAAGCUUACCAAGGCGACGAUGGGUAGCCGACUUGAGAGGGUGAUCGGCCACACUGGGACUGAGACACGGCCCAGACUCCUACGGGAGGCAGCAGUGGGGAAUAUUGGGCAAUGGGGGAAACCCUGACCCAGCAACGCCGCGUGAAGGAAGAAGGUUUUCGGAUUGUAAACUUCUGUCCUAGGUGAAGAGAAAGAGACGGUAGCCAAGGAGGAAGCCCCGGCUAACUACGUGCCAGCAGCCGCAGUAAAAC